This 433-nucleotide ribosomal RNA is filed under the name uncultured bacterium. RNAcentral describes it as "partial 16S ribosomal RNA". It matches the Rfam family "Bacterial small subunit ribosomal RNA", at positions 29 to 507 of the family's 1533-position model. The record is from RNAcentral.
AACGAACGCUGGCGGCAUGCCUAACACAUGCAAGUCGAACGAGACCUUCGGGUCUAGUGGCGCACGGGUGCGUAACGCGUGGGAACCUGCCCUUAGGUUCGGAAUAACUCCCCGAAAGGGGUGCUAAUACCGGAUAAUGUCUUCGGACCAAAGAUUUAUCGCCUUUGGAUGGGCCCGCGUUGGAUUAGCUAGUUGGUAGGGUAAAAGCCUACCACGGCGACGCUCCAUAGCUGGUCUGAGAGGAUGAUCAGCCACACUGGGACUGAGACACGGCCCAGACUCCUACGGGAGGCAGCGGUGGGGAAUAUUGGACAAUGGGCGAAAGCCUGAUCCAGCCAUGCCGCGUGAGUGAUGAAGGCCGUAGGGUUGUAAAGCUCUUUUACCCGGGAUGAUAAUGACAGUACCGGGAGAAUAAGCUCCGGCUAACUCCGUG